UAGGGAAUCUUCGGCAAUGGACGAAAGUCUGACCGAGCAACGCCGCGUGAGUGAAGAAGGUUUUCGGAUCGUAAAACUCUGUUGUUAGAGAAGAACAAGGACGUUAGUAACUGAACGUCCCCUGACGGUAUCUAACCAGAAAGCCACGGCUAACUACGUGCCAGCAGCCGCGGUAAUACGUAGGUGGCAAGCGUUGUCCGGAUUUAUUGGGCGUAAAGCGAGCGCAGGCGGUUUCUUAAGUCUGAUGUGAAAGCCCCCGGCUCAACCGGGGAGGGUCAUUGGAAACUGGGAGACUUGAGUGAAAAAGAGGAGAGUGGAAUUCCAUGUGUAGCGGUGAAAUGCGUAGAUAUAUGGAGGAACACCAGUGGCGAAGGCGGCUCUCUGGUCUGUAACUGACGCUGAGGCUCGAAAGCGUGGGGAGCAAACAGG
RNAcentral lists this ribosomal RNA (429 nucleotides) under Chloroflexota bacterium. RNAcentral's name for it is "Chloroflexi bacterium partial 16S ribosomal RNA". It matches the Rfam family "Bacterial small subunit ribosomal RNA", at positions 355 to 776 of the family's 1533-position model. The record is from RNAcentral. Lineage: Bacteria; Bacillati; Chloroflexota.